GACGAACGCUGGCGGCGUGCUUAACACAUGCAAGUCGAACGGUGAAGCGCCUUCCUUUUUGGUGGGUGUGGAUGAGUGGCGAACGGGUGAGUAACACGUGAGUAACCUGCCCCCUUCUUCUGGAUAACCGCAUGAAAGUGUGGCUAAUACGGGAUAUUCUGGGUCUGUCGCAUGAUGGGUCUGGGAAAGAUAUUGUUUCGGUGGGGGAUGGGCUCGCGGCCUAUCAGCUUGUUGGUGGGGUGAUGGCCUACCAAGGCGGUGACGGGUAGCCGGCCUGAGAGGGUGGACGGUCACACUGGGACUGAGACACGGCCCAGACUCCUACGGGAGGCGGCAGUGGGGAAUAUUGCACAAUGGGCGCAAGCCUGAUGCAGCGACGCCGCGUGAGGGAUGGAGGCCUUCGGGUUGUGAACCUCUUUCGCCAGUGAAGCAGGCCUGCCUCGUUUGUGGGUGGGUUGACGGUAGCUGGAUAAGUAGCGCCGGCUAACUACGUG
RNAcentral lists this ribosomal RNA (494 nucleotides) under uncultured bacterium. RNAcentral describes it as "partial 16S ribosomal RNA". It matches the Rfam family "Bacterial small subunit ribosomal RNA", at positions 28 to 507 of the family's 1533-position model. The record is from RNAcentral.